GUCCAGACUCCUACGGGAGGCAGCAGUGGGGAAUAUUGGGCAAUGGGCGCAAGCCUGACCCAGCAACGCCGCGUGAAGGAAGAAGGCUUUCGGGUUGUAAACUUCCUUUCUCAGGGACGAAGAAAGUGACGGUACCUGAGGAAUAAGCCACGGCUAACUACGUGCCAGCAGCCGCGGUAAUACGUAGGGGGCAAGCGUUAUCCGGAUUUACUGGGUGUAAAGGGAGCGUAGACGGCAGCGCAAGUCUGAAGUGAAAUGCCGGGGCUUAACCCCGGAACUGCUUUGGAAACUGUGCAGCUAGAGUGCAGGAGAGGUAAGUGGAAUUCCUAGUGUAGCGGUGAAAUGCGUAGAUAUCGCGCAGAACUCCGAUUGCGAAGGCAGCAUACCGGCGAUCAACUGACGCUCAUGCACGAAAGUGUGGGUAUCGAACAGGAUUAGAUACCCCCGUA
Molecule: ribosomal RNA, 449 nt
Filed under: uncultured bacterium
Lineage: Bacteria
Description: bacterial SSU rRNA
Rfam family: Bacterial small subunit ribosomal RNA
Source: RNAcentral